CCCUUAGAUGUCCUGGGCCGCACGCGCGCUACACUGAUGCAUUCAACGAGUAUUUCCUUGGCCGAGAGGCCUGGGCAAUCUUUUAAACCUGCAUCGUGAUAGGGAUAGAUUAUUGCAAUUAUUAAUCUUGAACGAGGAAUUCCUAGUAAACGCAAAUCAUCAAUUUGCAUUGAUUACGUCCCUGCCCUUUGUACACACCGCCCGUCGCACCUACCGAUUGAAUGGUCCGGUGAAAUCUCGGGAUUGUGGCCAGUUCACUUUAUUGGGAGUUGGCUGCGAGAACUUGCUUAAACCUUAUCAUUUAGAGGGAGGUGAAGUCGUAACA
Molecule: ribosomal RNA, 325 nt
Filed under: uncultured eukaryote
Lineage: Eukaryota
Description: partial 18S ribosomal RNA
Rfam family: Eukaryotic small subunit ribosomal RNA
Source: RNAcentral